RNA transcript from Salvia miltiorrhiza (redroot sage), 2474 nucleotides. It is a transcript of the gene named mitochondrial inner membrane protease ATP23-like, with no coding region annotated. The transcript has 4 exons. The record is from RefSeq and is a predicted model, not a curated record. Lineage: Eukaryota; Viridiplantae; Streptophyta; Magnoliopsida; Lamiales; Lamiaceae.
UAAAACUAUCCACUUUCAUAUUGUAAAGAUAAAAAUUGUCCACUAAGAUAAAAAUAAUAAAAAUUGUCCACUUUUUGAUUGAAAAGACAGAAAUACCCUUUACAUUAAAAUUUAAAAAAAUGGCCACUUUCUCUAGCUCUCUUCCCUCGUCCUAAUCGAAUAUGGAGAACAAAAUUUCCAACUUGUAAAAUCCCUAACUUCAUCUCCUUCAAUUUCCGGCGAAGACCACCGCUAUCAGUCCGACGCCGUCGCCGCCGUAGUUGCAGGGCCACCUGCGACGCCACACUCUCUUCUCCUUCAGGUAAUGAUCGAAAUUCGGCGGAUCGGCGUGGCCGAACUCGGUGCGGAUCUCGAUGAUUAAGAUCUCCAUGGCAGACGUUGAGGUAGAGCGCGCCGGCGGCGAGUUAGUCGUAGAUGGAGAGGUUUUGGCACUAGGCGAAGGGGAGUUCUAGACCUCCGAUUUGGCACGCGGCAGUCUCUCUCUCUGUCUCUCACAAAUCCAAAUCGAAACACACACACACGACUCAAAUCUAUCGGGCUCCAUCUCCUCAAGGUCGUGCUGUGGAAGCGAUGGGCCGGCAGCCGGGAUGCUGUCGCACCCGCUCGGAUUAUUUGAUAUCCCCCUUUUCUGCUUCACUUUCCUGUGUAGCUGAAGAGAAUAGAGAACAAAAUUAAUCGGCAAGUGACCUUCUCCAAGCGGCGAUCGGGACUUCUCAAAAAAGCUCAUGAGAUCUCCAUCCUCUGCGAAGCCGAUGUCGGUUUAAUCGUCUUCUCCACCUAGGGCAAGCUCUUUGAAUAUGCUACUGAUUCGUGGUAUGUUGAACUUCAUUCUUGAUACAAGCAAGAUAGAAGCUGGGAAGAUGCAGCUUGAGGAGCAAGUGUUUGACGUGGAGCAGCUUCUGGAGGACGUGGUUGAUCUAUACUAUCCUGCUGGCAUGAAUAAAGGCAUAGACGUGAUCUUGGAUCCAUGCGAUGGCUCUGUCUCGAGAUGUCGUUGGGCUAUAGGUGAUGCAUACAGUUGGGAUGCUAACUUUGUCUAUGUAGAAAAAAAAAGAAUACGAUUUGAUCAUAUGACUGCCACUGUUUGUUUCUUCAUCAUAUAACUUGUAAUUGUGCAUUAGAUUCAAGUAUGUAGCAAUAACUUGCGAUGUGAAGAUGAUCAGGUGGUGCAAGUGGUGAUUCAUGAGCUCGUUCGUGCUUAUGAUGAGUGUCGUGCUGCUAAUCUCGACUGGAGUAACUGCGCUCAUCACGCUUGCAAUGAGGUUAACUAACUAUCAUUAAGAAAUCUAAGCAUUGUUUAAUGCUUCAUCAUGCUUUUGUAAUUCUUGGUUAUGCAUAGUAUUUGUUGGAGCAGAUUCGAGCUAAUCAUCUCAGCGGUUAUUGCCACUUGAAACAAGAGCUUCUUCGUGGGCAUUUGAAGAUAAAGAAAAUACUCUCACAGUAUUAGGACUGGAUGAUACACUGCAAUAAACUGGAGCAGAGACUGAAUGUUAGUGAAAUUUGUAGCAGCAAGGAGCAAAUCAUGCAAAGAGUAGGUAACAUUGUUGGAUUAGAAACUCCUAUUAUUAUAUACCUUGUUGUUGCUGAUGAUCUCCUUGAAGAUAACUCCGUACUCGAGAGGUGGGGCAAAGGUUUGCUUCCUUUCGAGAAGAAGAAGUUGGGAGAAGAAAAAGUUGGGUGUUCUUGACACGUACAAGAAGCACCCCUAUCUGAUUCAAUCGGCUAUAGACUAUGAAGUUUGCUUGAGAUCUGAUGUGUUUGUGGGGAACACCUUCUCGACUUUCUCCAGCCUUAUUGUUCUUGACAGAACUCAAUUGAUGAUCAGCAAGGGUCUUACACAACAGUGCGGGUUAGAUGUUAGAUGGCCUUCUUAUGCCUACAAUUUAGAAGGUGAAUUAAAUGGUCCAUGCCCUUGGGCAGCUAAUAUGUCGGAUGUGAGCCUCCAAGCCAUUAGUUAUGGUUCGAAUCAUGUUUCUUGUCGAUGAUUCUUGAGUUUUGUUUUCCAUGCUUAUUGUGGGACGCGGUUUUCGACAAAUUCGGUGGUAAACCUUCAACUCCUUUUUGUAGAUGGCAUGAGAUUUUCUGCUAGAGCAAUGAAAGCAAUGAGAGGAAACCCAUAUUGUUCGGGAAUAAAAGCGGAGGAUGCCAUGAAAGCUAUUUGGAGUACCUGCUAUAACGACACUGCGCCCUUCGACACUUGAGAGAGGCUGUUACUCACUUCUCUUGGCAUCAAAUUAAUUGCCACUCUGAAGUUGCUACUGCACUGAUUAUGUAUUUAAGUUUACAUUCUCGAGUUAUCUUUAAUCCACGCAGAUUUCACAUUACUACUAAUUUCUUUGUUGUAGAGCUGGUUAUGGAGUUUUGUUAUUUAUUUGUUAAUUUAGUGUUUUUUGGUUACUUGAUCUAUCCUCCAAUUUUGGGGGCCGAAUUGGAAGCAAUUGAUUUUGAAAUUAUUUUUGGGUGAAUGUUUCUAA